RNAcentral lists this ribosomal RNA (455 nucleotides) under uncultured bacterium. RNAcentral's name for it is "bacterial SSU rRNA". It matches the Rfam family "Bacterial small subunit ribosomal RNA", at positions 340 to 786 of the family's 1533-position model. The record is from RNAcentral.
UACGGAAGGCAGCAGUGGGGAAUAUUGCACAAUGGGCGAAAGCCUGAUGCAGCUAUGCCGCGUGUAUGAAGAAGGCCUUAGGGUUGUAAAGUACUUUCAUCGGGGAGGAAAAACAAAACUAAUAAUUUUAUUUCUUGACGUUACCCGAAAAAGAAGCACCGGCUAACUCCGUGCCAGCAGCCGCGGUAAUACGGAGGGUGCUAGCGUUAAUCAGAAUUACUGGGCGUAAAGAGCACGUAGGUGGUUUUUUUAAGUCAGAUGUGAAAUCCCUGGGCUUAACCUAGGAACUGCAUUUUGAAACUGAAAUACUAGAGUAUCGUAGAGGGAGGUAGAAUUCUAGGUGUAGCGGUGAAAUGCGUAGAUAUCUGGAGGAAUACCUGUGGCGAAAGCGGCCUCCUAAACGAAUACUGACACUGAGGUACGAAAGCGUGGGGAGCAAACAGGGAUUAGAUACC